AGAGAGGCGUGCUAAAGUCUGGUUGAAGUUGUGGAUUUCUCUCUCCUUGUAGUGCAAUCAGUUUUUGCUGUUUGGAAGCCCUGGUGAAUUGAACUCUGAUCCCUCUCACAGCCCUGAAAUCCUGCCUCUCCCACCUGCCCUGCUGCCUCAUGAGCUCCAAACCCCACCUGCCUCCCAGGACUGCUGCCUGAGCUGCCUGCAGGCUGUUCUCCACAGCAGAGGGACUGGUCUUCAUAAGGAUCUUCGGUGGCUCACUCCUCCCACCUCAACCCGUGCUCAGGCCUCUGCUGAAGUCCCCCUGAGGGAGAGGAGGCCUGUUUGAACACCUUCUCCAAAAUAGCACCCCCACCAUGCCCCCCUUGCCUGGCUCUGUUUUUCUUCCCAGCUCCUUUCUUUGAAGUACACAUACUUGGGUUUUUAGUUCAUGAUCUCUGUCCCGCAACUAGAACGCAGUUCUCCAGUGAGCGGCGUGCUCUUAGCCUGCACCAGCGCUGACGAUGCCGUUCUGCUUGCCAGUCGUGUGAGUGCAAGAGCUAUUUGGGGCAUGAGUCAAUGAACAGGGUACUUUCAUCCCCAAGGCGAAUUACAGGGUGAGUCUAAGAGAACAGAGCCUAAUAAGAUACACUCCUCGUGGGCUGUGGCUGUGGCUCAGCAGUAGAGCGCUUGCUUAGCACGCUCACGAGGCCCUGGGUUAGAUCCUCAGCAGCACAUAAAAAUAAAUAAAUAAAAAUAAAUGUAUUGCAUCCAUCUACAACUAAAAAAUAAAUAUAUAUAUAUA
This is a long non-coding RNA of Marmota monax (woodchuck), 778 nucleotides long. RefSeq lists it as uncharacterized. Lineage: Eukaryota; Metazoa; Chordata; Mammalia; Rodentia; Sciuridae. The transcript has 3 exons. The record is from RefSeq and is a predicted model, not a curated record.